This 465-nucleotide ribosomal RNA is filed under the name Vreelandella stevensii. RNAcentral describes it as "partial 16S ribosomal RNA". It matches the Rfam family "Bacterial small subunit ribosomal RNA", at positions 338 to 795 of the family's 1533-position model. The record is from RNAcentral. Lineage: Bacteria; Pseudomonadati; Pseudomonadota; Gammaproteobacteria; Oceanospirillales; Halomonadaceae.
CCUACGGGUGGCAGCAGUGGGGAAUAUUGGACAAUGGGGGCAACCCUGAUCCAGCCAUGCCGCGUGUGUGAAGAAGGCCCUCGGGUUGUAAAGCACUUUCAGUGAGGAAGAACGCCUGGUGGUUAAUACCCAUCAGUAAAGACAUCACUCACAGAAGAAGCACCGGCUAACUCCGUGCCAGCAGCCGCGGUAAUACGGAGGGUGCGAGCGUUAAUCGGAAUUACUGGGCGUAAAGCGCGCGUAGGUGGCUUGAUAAGCCGGUUGUGAAAGCCCCGGGCUCAACCUGGGAACGGCAUCCGGAACUGUCAAGCUAGAGUGCAGGAGAGGAAGGUAGAAUUCCCGGUGUAGCGGUGAAAUGCGUAGAGAUCGGGAGGAAUACCAGUGGCGAAGGCGGCCUUCUGGACUGACACUGACACUGAGGUGCGAAAGCGUGGGUAGCAAACAGGAUUAGAUACCCUUGUAGUC